UGGGGAAUAUUGGACAAUGGGCGCAAGCCUGAUCCAGCAAUGCCGCGUGAGUGAUGAAGGCCUUAGGGUUGUAAAGCUCUUUCGCACGCGACGAUGAUGACGGUAGCGUGAGAAGAAGCCCCGGCUAACUUCGUGCCAGCAGCCGCGGUAAUACGAAGGGGGCUAGCGUUGUUCGGAAUUACUGGGCGUAAAGGGCGCGUAGGCGGCCUGUUUAGUCAGAAGUGAAAGCCCCGGGCUCAACCUGGGAAUAGCUUUUGAUACUGGCAGGCUUGAGUUCCGGAGAGGAUGGUGGAAUUCCCAGUGUAGAGGUGAAAUUCGUAGAUAUUGGGAAGAACACCGGUGGCGAAGGCGGCCAUCUGGACGGACACUGACGCUGAGGCGCGAAAGCGUGGGGAGCAAACAGAUUAGAUACCCUGGUAGUCCACGCCGUAAACGAUGAAUGCUAGACGUCGGGGUGCAUNCACUUCGGUGUCGCCGCUAACGCAUUAAGCAUUCCGCCUGGGGAGUACGGCCGCAAGGUU
Molecule: ribosomal RNA, 521 nt
Filed under: uncultured bacterium
Lineage: Bacteria
Description: partial 16S ribosomal RNA
Rfam family: Bacterial small subunit ribosomal RNA
Source: RNAcentral